GCAUUGGUAGUUCAGUGGUAGAAAUCCCACCUCUCAUGCUGGAGAUACAGUUUGGAUUCCUGACCAAUGCA
RNAcentral lists this transfer RNA (71 nucleotides) under Loxodonta africana (African savanna elephant). It matches the Rfam family "tRNA". Rfam says of the family: Transfer RNA (tRNA) molecules are approximately 80 nucleotides in length. Their secondary structure includes four short double-helical elements and three loops (D, anti-codon, and T loops). The record is from Rfam by way of RNAcentral. Lineage: Eukaryota; Metazoa; Chordata; Mammalia; Proboscidea; Elephantidae.